Molecule: small nucleolar RNA, 126 nt
Organism: Mus spicilegus (steppe mouse)
Lineage: Eukaryota; Metazoa; Chordata; Mammalia; Rodentia; Muridae
Source: Ensembl
GAACAACCCGGCGGCACACCUUCUCCUGGUGCUGGGGCUUAAGCUGUGGUGCCACAGCACUUUGCAGGUGCAUGACUGGGGCUGUCUGCCCUUCGCCGGCGGCCCUUUUAACUGCCAGCUACAGAC